Molecule: ribosomal RNA, 446 nt
Filed under: uncultured bacterium
Lineage: Bacteria
Description: partial 16S ribosomal RNA
Rfam family: Bacterial small subunit ribosomal RNA
Source: RNAcentral
CCUACGGGUGACAGCAGUCGAGAAUCAUUCACAAUGGGGGAAACCCUGAUGGUGCGACGCCGCGUGGGGGAAUGAAGUUCUUCGGAUUGUAAACCCCUGUCAUGUGGGAGCAAAUUAAAAAGAUAGUACCACAAGAGGAAGAGACGGCUAACUCUGUGCCAGCAGCCGCGGUAAUACAGAGGGCUCAAGCGUUGUUCGGAAUCACUGGGCGUAAAGCGUGCGUAGGCUGUUUCGUAAGUCGUGUGUGAAAGGCGCGGGCUCAACCCGCGGACGGCACAUGAUACUGCGAGACUAGAGUAAUGGAGGGGGAACCGGAAUUCUCGGUGUAGCAGUGAAAUGCGUAGAUAUCGAGAGGAACACUAGUGGCGAAGGCGGGUUACUGGACAGUAACUGACGCUGAGGCACGAAGGCCAGGGGAGCGAAAGGGAUUAGAUACCCCUGUAGUC